RNAcentral lists this ribosomal RNA (253 nucleotides) under uncultured microorganism. RNAcentral describes it as "partial 16S ribosomal RNA". It matches the Rfam family "Bacterial small subunit ribosomal RNA", at positions 524 to 776 of the family's 1533-position model. The record is from RNAcentral.
UACGUAGGGUGCGAGCGUUAAUCGGAUUUACUGGGCGUAAAGCGUGCGCAGGCGGCCCGUUAAGACAGGUGUGAAAUCCCUGGGCUCAACCUAGGAAUUGCGCUUGUGACUGGCGGGCUCGAGUACGGUAGAGGGGGGUGGAAUUCCUGGUGUAGCAGUGAAAUGCGUAGAGAUCAGGAGGAACACCGAUGGCGAAGGCAGCCCCCUUGGCCUGUACUGACGCUCAUGCACGAAAGCGUGGGGAGCAAACAGG